CAGAGAACGAGGGAUGUUAUGCAAUCUGCCCUUCUCCAUUUCCCUGGCACCACCCCCACUCUGGGAUUCAGGAAGGAGGAGGAGGGCUUUUCAGAAUGGGAGGUGUGGAUUUUGACCUCUCUGGGCCUCAGUUUUCUCAUCUGUCAAGUGGGGGGGGGGAGUAUCUUCCUUAUGGUGUGAUGUGAAAAGACAGCACACUGUGCCUUCUGACCACAGGGAGUAGGAUGGGAAUGUGGGCUUUCUCCCUGCUCAUGUGAUCUUAGGCUGGUACCAUCACUCCUCAGUUUUCCUAUCUCUAAAUGGGGUCAAUCAUAAGUAUCUGACAAGGAGGUUGUAGGGGUUAAAACAAACCCCUCAAAUCCUUGGUAUUGGGUGGGUGCUCAGCCGCUGGUUUUUAUUGUGACUGUCAGCAAAGGCGCGGUGUCCUGUUAACGCCCUGCAGGGUCCUUGUAGAUAGGGUGUGUCUUCCUGCUGGCUGUGGGCGGGGUCGCCAGUCCCAAAAGACGUGGCCAGAGCUGGCAACUAAUGGAGCUGUCAGCCCGAUUCAGAGCACUCCUUGGAGCUCCCCAGAGGCAGGUGCUGAUGCCACAUCGAUGAGCCACGUUCCCCUGAUGCGCUCCUGACAUUUCCUGCCUGCCUUCCCCGGCCUGCCUGCCCGGGUCAGCGGUCACACUGAGUCACAGCCGCUCCCUGCAGGCUCUGGCCGCCCACUGCCCCGGGGCGCGGGGCGGGAGGAAGCUGGACCGAGUCAGUGCACUGGUAGGAGCCAUGGUAUCCAGGAGAAGGAGGGAGCAGCCGCUGCCUCUGUCCCCCCAGGUCCUAGGGGAAGCUGCCUGUGCACUGCAGCCUGCUGCAUUUCCAAGCCAACCUGGCACGAGGCCCCUUGGUGCGCUGCCCUGGCUCUGGCUGCCCCAGACUUGAGUCCUUCCUGGAUCACACUGACCUCAGAGCCCCAGGCCCCAUGUGGACCUGCUCACAGGCCUGAGGUUUGGCUCUCAGAUGCCCCAUUUCAGUUUGGGUCCAUCACUCUGCCUGGUUCUUCUGGGAUGUUACACCCUGCUCUGGACACCCCUGCACCCCAGCCCCUUCUGCCAGCCAGCUGACCCGCGGCUCCCGAGGAAGUGGCAGCAGUCUCUUCUGGAGUGUGCAGACGUGGCUGUGCUUCCUCUGGCACUGUGCUGGGCUGGCAAAUGACCCCUCUCCCCUGGGAUCACAGCUCCCUUUCCAAAGAUCGGUCCUUCCUUGGCCUCUGGCAGUGGGUUGCUAUGAGCCUUGCACGCCUUUCCUCCAAGCCCUGCCCCGACCCCGGGCCCACAGUGCUCCACAGGGCGGAGGCCACCCCAGGCCACCUUUGUCCCUUCAUGCUCCUCCCUUCAGCUCUUCAGGACUGGGGGCCACCAGGAAGGCCCAGAUCUGGUCCCAGGAAUGCACUUCAAACUGCCAGCGCCCCCAGCAGCUGCAGCAGUAGCUCAGCCAGCCAACUAGGGCACUGACAGGAAGAUGGGGGCGGCAUGGAGACCACAUUUCCUCCCACUGCCUGAGCCCCUGAGCCCCGAUGGCAACACCAGCCCAGAGCCCGUGAGCAGCAGGGCUGGUCUCAAGGUGAGACCAGUGAGAAGCACGUGGAAAUGCCCCCCAACCCCACUCCUUCCCCCAAAGCUGUGUGUGAGCAGGUGCCAAAUCCCAAGGCGGGGCAGCACAUGGCGGGGCAGGAGCUGAAGUCCACAGGGAGCUGCCGCUGAGGACAGUCUCACCUCAGCAGCUGUGGAGACGGGAUAAGGUCUCCUGAGCCCCUGCCCAGGGCUCUCCCACACCUUAUGGCACUGACUGCUCUGAAGUGGCCAGUAGCUGCCUCUGUCUGGUGGAUCUUCAUCAGGUCCACCUCAGGUGUGGCUUCUGGGAGAUUUAAAUUCUCCGAGCUGCCCCGGUGCCCAGCCUUGGGCUGUUUUCUCUACACCAUGCUGAGCUGGCAGGUGACUGUGCUGGGACGGACCUCUGCAUGGGUCAGGUGCCCCUUCUCCAAACUACAGCCUGGCCCCAGAGCCGGCAAUAGACAUAAAGGAAGAAAUCCAAUGAGCCGGGUAAUAGUGGAAAUUAAUAGUGGUAAUUAAUUGCUAAGAGCAUGCAGAGACCAUGGCAACGACGGUUGGAUGACAGAGGCACAAACCUUAUUUCCUUUCAGGGCUGCGCUCCAAAAGGCUCCAUUUCUUUGUAAACAGCUUGCAGUAGCUUUGUGGAGGUGCCAAGUGCCCUGGGUCUGAGCCCCCUCCUUGAGUAGAAAACACUGGGGUCAGCCUUGAGUCAGUGCCCCGUCUGCCAUGCUCUCCCUCGCUGUGUCAUCCUGGGCAAUUCACUGUUCAUCUCUGAGCCUUUUUCCAUCUCUAUAGUGGGGAGAACAAACCCAAUUGACAAGAGCUUUUGAAGAGUCCACAGGUGACCUAACGUGAGAGGGAGAUGGACUGGAGCCAGCCUACCUGAGUUCAUUUCUGGCACCAUCAUUUAUUAGCUGUGUGACCUUGGGUCAGGGCAUCAACCACUCUGAGCCUCAGUGGUCACAUCUGUAAAAUGGGGUGAUAAUAAUAGUACCCAUACCAAAGGUUGUUAUGAGGACUAAAUGAGAUGAUAAAUACAAAAUGCUAAGCACGUACAGCUUAACUGCACUUUCAGUGUACUAUAUACCUGUAACAGCACUCUGUUGUGAAAUGUUUAUAGGGUCUCAGCUCUGUCCGUAAUAAACCUAUUAAAUUAUUACUA
This is a non-coding RNA of Vicugna pacos (alpaca), 2754 nucleotides long. NCBI's taxonomy places the organism in Eukaryota, Metazoa, Chordata, Mammalia, Artiodactyla, Camelidae. The record is from RefSeq and is a predicted model, not a curated record.